GAUGAACGCUGGCGGCGUGCCUAAUACAUGCAAGUCGAGCGAACAGACGAGGAGCUUGCUCCCCUGACGUUAGCGGCGGACGGGUGAGUAACACGUGGAUAACCUACCUAUAAGACUGGGAUAACUUCGGGAAACCGGAGCUAAUACCGGAUAAUAUAUUGAACCGCAUGGUUCAAUAGUGAAAGACGGUUUUGCUGUCACUUAUAGAUGGAUCCGCGCCGCAUUAGCUAGUUGGUAAGGUAACGGCUUACCAAGGCAACGAUGCGUAGCCGACCUGAGAGGGUGAUCGGCCACACUGGAACUGAGACACGGUCCAGACUCCUACGGGAGGCAGCAGUAGGGAAUCUUCCGCAAUGGGCGAAAGCUUGACGGAGCAACGCCGCGUGAGUGAUGAAGGUCUUCGGAUCGUAAAACUCUGUUAUUAGGGAAGAACAAAUGUGUAAGUAACUAUGCACGUCUUGACGGUACCUAACCAGAAAGCCACGGCUAACUACGUG
Molecule: ribosomal RNA, 497 nt
Filed under: uncultured bacterium
Lineage: Bacteria
Description: partial 16S ribosomal RNA
Rfam family: Bacterial small subunit ribosomal RNA
Source: RNAcentral